CUUACAAAGCUUUUGCACAGCAAAGGAAACCAUCAACAAGGUGAAAAGAAAACCCUCAGUGUGGAAGAAACUAUUUGCAAAUGAAGGAACUGACAAAGGAUUAAUCUCCAAAAUAUACAAACAGCUCAUGCAGUUCAAUAUCUAAAAAAAGCAACCCAAUACAAAAAGGAUAGAAGAUCUAAAUACACAUUUCUCCAAAGAAGAUAUACAGAUUGCCAACAAACACAUGAAAGGAUGCUCAACAUCACUAAUCAUUAGAGAAACGCAAAUCAAAACUACAAUGAGAUAUCAUCUCACACCAGUCAGAAUGGCCAUCAUCAAAAAAUCUAGAAACAAUAAAUGCUGGAGAGGGUGUGGAGAAAAGGGAACCCUCUUGCACUGCUGGUGGGAAUGUGAAUUGGUUCAGCCACUAUGGAGAACAGUAUGGAGGUUCCUUAAAAAACUACAAAUAGAACUACCAUAUGACCCAGCAAUCCCACUACUGGGCAUAUACCCUGAGAAAACCAAAAUUCAAAAAGAGUCAUGUACCAAAAUGUUCAUUGCAGCUCUAUUUACAAUAGCCCGGAGAUGGAAACAACCUAAGUGCCCGUCAUCAGAUGAAUGGAUAAAGAAGAUGUGGCACAUAUAUACAAUGGAAUAUUACUCAGCCAUAAAAAGAAACGAAAUUGAGCUAUUUGUAAUGAGGUGGAUAGACCUAGAGUCUGUCACACAGAGUGAAGUAAGUCAGAAAGAAAAAGACAAAUACCGUAUGC
Long non-coding RNA from Orcinus orca (killer whale), 752 nucleotides. RefSeq lists it as uncharacterized. The record is from RefSeq and is a predicted model, not a curated record. The transcript has 2 exons. Lineage: Eukaryota; Metazoa; Chordata; Mammalia; Artiodactyla; Delphinidae.